Molecule: ribosomal RNA, 330 nt
Filed under: uncultured Lachnospiraceae bacterium
Lineage: Bacteria; Bacillati; Bacillota; Clostridia; Lachnospirales; Lachnospiraceae
Description: bacterial SSU rRNA
Rfam family: Bacterial small subunit ribosomal RNA
Source: RNAcentral
GAUGAACGCUGGCGGCGUGCUUAACACAUGCAAGUCGAACGAAGCUCCGGACGUGGAGGCUUCGGCCAAAGCAGAAGGAAGACUUAGUGGCGGACGGGUGAGUAACGCGUGGGUAACCUGCCAUAUACAGGGGGAUAACAGUUAGAAAUGACUGCUAAUACCGCAUAAGCGCACACUGAGGCAUCUCAGGGUGUGAAAAGCUCAGACGGUAUAUGAUGGACCCGCGUCUGAUUAGCUAGUUGGAAGGGUAACGGCCUACCAAGGCGACGAUCAGUAGCCGGCCUGAGAGGGUGAACGGCCACAUUGGGACUGAGACACGGCCCAAACUCC